GGUUAAGCGACUAAGCGUACACGGUGGAUGCCCUGGCAGUCAGAGGCGAUGAAGGACGUGCUAAUCUGCGAUAAGCGUCGGUAAGGUGAUAUGAACCGUUAUAACCGGCGAUUUCCGAAUGGGGAAACCCAGUGUGAUUCGUCACACUAUCAUUAACUGAAUCCAUAGGUUAAUGAGGCGAACCGGGGGAACUGAAACAUCUAAGUACCCCGAGGAAAAGAAAUCAACCGAGAUUCCCCCAGUAGCGGCGAGCGAACGGGGAGCAGCCCAGAGCCUGAAUCAGUGUGUGUGUUAGUGGAAGCGUCUGGAAAGGCGCGCGAUACAGGGUGACAGCCCCGUACACAAAAAUGCACAUGCUGUGAGCUUGAUGAGUAGGGCGGGACACGUGGUAUCCUGUCUGAAUAUGGGGGGGACCAUCCUCCAAGGCUAAAUACUCCUGACUGACCGAUAGUGAACCAGUACCGUGAGGGAAAGGCGAAAAGAACCCCGGCGAGGGGAGUGAAAAAGAACCUGAAACCGUGUACGUACAAGCAGUGGGAGCACGCUUCGGCGUGUGACUGCGUACCUUUUGUAUAAUGGGUCAGCGACUUAUAUUCUGUAGCAAGGUUAACCGAAUAGGGGAGCCGAAGGGAAACCGAGUCUUAACUGGGCGUUAAGUUGCAGGGUAUAGACCCGAAACCCGGUGAUCUAGCCAUGGGCAGGUUGAAGGUUGGGUAACACUAACUGGAGGACCGAACCGACUAAUGUUGAAAAAUUAGCGGAUGACUUGUGGCUGGGGGUGAAAGGCCAAUCAAACCGGGAGAUAGCUGGUUCUCCCCGAAAGCUAUUUAGGUAGCGCCUCGUGAAUUCAUCUCCGGGGGUAGAGCACUGUUUCGGCAAGGGGGUCAUCCCGACUUACCAACCCGAUGCAAACUGCGAAUACCGGAGAAUGUUAUCACGGGAGACACACGGCGGGUGCUAACGUCCGUCGUGAAGAGGGAAACAACCCAGACCGCCAGCUAAGGUCCCAAAGUCAUGGUUAAGUGGGAAACGAUGUGGGAAGGCCCAGACAGCCAGGAUGUUGGCUUAGAAGCAGCCAUCAUUUAAAGAAAGCGUAAUAGCUCACUGGUCGAGUCGGCCUGCGCGGAAGAUGUAACGGGGCUAAACCAUGCACCGAAGCUGCGGCAGCGACACUAUGUGUUGUUGGGUAGGGGAGCGUUCUGUAAGCCUGUGAAGGUGUACUGUGAGGUAUGCUGGAGGUAUCAGAAGUGCGAAUGCUGACAUAAGUAACGAUAAAGCGGGUGAAAAGCCCGCUCGCCGGAAGACCAAGGGUUCCUGUCCAACGUUAAUCGGGGCAGGGUGAGUCGACCCCUAAGGCGAGGCCGAAAGGCGUAGUCGAUGGGAAACAGGUUAAUAUUCCUGUACUUGGUGUUACUGCGAAGGGGGGACGGAGAAGGCUAUGUUGGCCGGGCGACGGUUGUCCCGGUUUAAGCGUGUAGGCUGGUUUUCCAGGCAAAUCCGGAAAAUCAAGGCUGAGGCGUGAUGACGAGGCACUACGGUGCUGAAGCAACAAAUGCCCUGCUUCCAGGAAAAGCCUCUAAGCAUCAGGUAACAUCAAAUCGUACCCCAAACCGACACAGGUGGUCAGGUAGAGAAUACCAAGGCGCUUGAGAGAACUCGGGUGAAGGAACUAGGCAAAAUGGUGCCGUAACUUCGGGAGAAGGCACGCUGAUAUGUAGGUGAAGUCCCUCGCGGAUGGAGCUGAAAUCAGUCGAAGAUACCAGCUGGCUGCAACUGUUUAUUAAAAACACAGCACUGUGCAAACACGAAAGUGGACGUAUACGGUGUGACGCCUGCCCGGUGCCGGAAGGUUAAUUGAUGGGGUUAGCGGUAACGCGAAGCUCUUGAUCGAAGCCCCGGUAAACGGCGGCCGUAACUAUAACGGUCCUAAGGUAGCGAAAUUCCUUGUCGGGUAAGUUCCGACCUGCACGAAUGGCGUAAUGAUGGCCAGGCUGUCUCCACCCGAGACUCAGUGAAAUUGAACUCGCUGUGAAGAUGCAGUGUACCCGCGGCAAGACGGAAAGACCCCGUGAACCUUUACUAUAGCUUGACACUGAACAUUGAGCCUUGAUGUGUAGGAUAGGUGGGAGGCUUUGAAGUGUGGACGCCAGUCUGCAUGGAGCCGACCUUGAAAUACCACCCUUUAAUGUUUGAUGUUCUAACGUUGACCCGUGAUCCGGGUUGCGGACAGUGUCUGGUGGGUAGUUUGACUGGGGCGGUCUCCUCCUAAAGAGUAACGGAGGAGCACGAAGGUUGGCUAAUCCUGGUCGGACAUCAGGAGGUUAGUGCAAUGGCAUAAGCCAGCUUGACUGCGAGCGUGACGGCGCGAGCAGGUGCGAAAGCAGGUCAUAGUGAUCCGGUGGUUCUGAAUGGAAGGGCCAUCGCUCAACGGAUAAAAGGUACUCCGGGGAUAACAGGCUGAUACCGCCCAAGAGUUCAUAUCGACGGCGGUGUUUGGCACCUCGAUGUCGGCUCAUCACAUCCUGGGGCUGAAGUAGGUCCCAAGGGUAUGGCUGUUCGCCAUUUAAAGUGGUACGCGAGCUGGGUUUAGAACGUCGUGAGACAGUUCGGUCCCUAUCUGCCGUGGGCGCUGGAGAACUGAGGGGGGCUGCUCCUAGUACGAGAGGACCGGAGUGGACGCAUCACUGGUGUUCGGGUUGUCAUGCCAAUGGCACUGCCCGGUAGCUAAAUGCGGAAGAGAUAAGUGCUGAAAGCAUCUAAGCACGAAACUUGCCCCGAGAUGAGUUCUCCCUGACUCCUUGAGAGUCCUGAAGGAACGUUGAAGACGACGACGUUGAUAGGCCGGGUGUGUAAGCGCAGCGAUGCGUUGAGCUAACCGGUACUAAUGAACCGUGAGGCUUAACCUU
RNAcentral lists this ribosomal RNA (2906 nucleotides) under Escherichia coli. RNAcentral's name for it is "23S ribosomal RNA". It matches the Rfam family "Bacterial large subunit ribosomal RNA". Lineage: Bacteria; Pseudomonadati; Pseudomonadota; Gammaproteobacteria; Enterobacterales; Enterobacteriaceae. The record is from RNAcentral.